This 450-nucleotide ribosomal RNA is filed under the name uncultured bacterium. RNAcentral's name for it is "partial 16S ribosomal RNA". It matches the Rfam family "Bacterial small subunit ribosomal RNA", at positions 354 to 796 of the family's 1533-position model. The record is from RNAcentral.
GUGGGGAAUCUUCCGCAAUGGACGAAAGUCUGACGGAGCAACGCCGCGUGAGUGAAGAAGGUUUUCGGAUCGUAAAGCUCUUUCGUUAGGGACGAACGUGCUCUUUGUGAAUAAUGAGGAAUAAUGACGGUACCUAAAUAAGAAGCCACGGCUAACUACGUGCCAGCAGCCGCGGUAAUACGUAGGUGGCAAGCGUUGUCCGGAAUUAUUGGGCGUAAAGCGCGCGCAGGCGGGAUAUCAAGUCUGUCUUAAAAGUGCGAGGCUCAACCUCGUGAGGGGACAGAAACUGGUAUUCUUGAGUGUCGGAGAGGAAAGUGGAAUUCCAAGUGUAGCGGUGAAAUGCGUAGAGAUUUGGAAGAACACCAGUGGCGAAGGCGACUUUCUGGACGAUGUCUGACGCUGAGGCGCGAAAGCUAGGGGAGCGAACGGGAUUAGAAACCCCUGUAGUCC